GAGUUGUAAUUUGCAGAGGAUGUUAUGGAAUCUGUGUGGACUCAAGUCCUUUGGAAAAAGGCGCCAUGGAGAGUGACAGUCUCGUACUUUCCAAUACAUUUUCCAUGUAUAACUCCUUCAAAGAGUCGAGUUGUUUGGGAAUGCAGCUCUAAGUGGGACGUAAAUUUGUUCCAAAGCUAAAUACCGGCUAGAGACCGAUAGCGCACAAGUAGAGUGAUCGAAAGAUGAAAAGCACUUUGAAAAGAGAGUUAAAAAGCACGUGAAAUUGUUGAAAGGGAAGCUUAUGUCAUCAGAAAUGGUGUCGUUGUUCAGCCUUUUGGUGUAUUCAAUGAUGACCAGGCUAGCAUCAGUUUGAAUAGUUGGAUAAAAGCUUGGAAAUGUAACUCCCUCGGGAGUGUUAUAGUCCGAGACAUCAUGCAGCUCAUUCAG
Molecule: ribosomal RNA, 429 nt
Filed under: Laurera aff. megasperma Rivas Plata 2108 (F)
Lineage: Eukaryota; Fungi; Ascomycota; Dothideomycetes; Trypetheliales; Trypetheliaceae
Description: eukaryotic LSU rRNA
Rfam family: Eukaryotic large subunit ribosomal RNA
Source: RNAcentral